Molecule: long non-coding RNA, 2052 nt
Organism: Carassius gibelio (silver crucian carp)
Lineage: Eukaryota; Metazoa; Chordata; Actinopteri; Cypriniformes; Cyprinidae
Exons: 7
Source: RefSeq, a predicted model, not a curated record
CAUAAUAACCAUCAGACCAAAACAUAUCUUAGACUGUUUUUAAAAAAUUUAAAAUUAAUAUAUUGAUAAAAAAAAAAAAAUCAUAUAGUGAAAAUCUGUGUCAUUGUCUUGGCAAGUCUGUAACUGUAACGUUACCUACUUCAGCGAGCGUCUGGAUCUGUGUUGCACACGAGCCUGUAAAAAUCUUACCCGGAUACAGCAAUGCUAUUUUCUGAUUGGCUGAUCGGUAGCUAUAUUUUUUUAUUUGAUUAGCUGGUGCGUGUCGGGGCCUUCGGGGAACUCACUUGAUUCCUCUACCUGUUUCACUGUUUAAAAAAAUAGCGCCGCAACUUGGUGGGCGUUAUCCUCGUAAUGUCUCUGCGUGAGAAAUACAAGGUGUGGCGUGUGAGCGUGUGAACGGAUUGAAAUGCGUGGGUCUCACGCCCAAUGCGUGAGACUUGAGAGCCGUGCUGCUGGUUACCAGAGCACUCGUGUAUUGAUUAUUUUCACCAGCAGAGGGCGCUGUGAGCUACACUGAUUGCUUGGCCAUGUGCUGCUACUUCAUUCCUGAAGAACUGAACCUGGACGACAGCAGGACUCUAUAAUCAUCAAUCCUCAGAAGAGACACCGUUGUCAAUAUAUAAAGAUACUGAAUUUGAUGGAGACACUUUAAUGAACCUAACUAAGACUAUGAAAGCUAAAAUAUUCCCAAAAAAUGAAGGAUGAAGUUAAAUUUAUAAGAUUACAAGAAAACCUAAAUACGGAGAUGCCAGCAAGACCACAGACACCACGAGACUUCCUGUUGAUAUUCAAGACAACAUAUUGCUUGUUUGUAGCAAAAAAAAAAAAAAAAAGCCCUUUGACAGGACAAAGCAAACAAGAUCAAAAACAAUUCAAGGUAUGCAACAGUGAACACAAGUUGUGUUCAGACCUUGUUACCAAAUACCAGUUCUUGAGAGAAAAGACUGGCAAAGGAUGUGCUUAAAAACUAAUUCAAAAAAGAAAGAACACCUUUGAUUAAUGUUGAAGAAAAAAUGACAUUUGCUGCAGGUUCAGCAAAGUAAGAAAACAGAUCAUUUUUCCAGGAGUCCAUAAAAAAUUAUCGCAAUCAUUGUAGAGAUUAAGGAUCUAUCUGGUCAAGAUUUGUAUCAAAAGAGGUCAAGGUCAGUUUGGGUAAGAGUCACAGACAGAGUCUGAAGGCACAAACAGAGAUCAGCGAGAGCCAAAGAAGAGCAGCAGGGGGAAAUAUUGUUACUGAGCUGGAUGAAGAAAAACAAAUCUGUGUUGAUUUGGCACACAAAGGUGUCAGUGGUUGCUGCUGUCCUGCUGUUUCCACUUCUGUUAAAGGAGAGUCUGAGAUCUCUUUAUGUCAUCAGUGAGGAACCAGAUACACCCAACCCUGUGCUGUUUAUAAAGGGACAUGCCUUGGAUGCAGAGUCUCUUUAAGAAAUAAUGAUGGAAGUGAAGGAGGAGGUCUGUGAAGUAGACGAUGUGAACACAGCUCUACUCUUCAACUUCAACACUGAAUAUGCUUCAAAUUUGAGAGAUACCCUGACUUUUACUGAAAACUGUUUAAUGUAUCAACAAAAACCAAUAUGCCACCCACAAUGGCCAAUUAUUAUUAUUUGUUUUAUUAAAUUAAUGUGUAUGUAUAUAAAUGCAUGAUAUUUAUAUUUGUUUAUGUAUGUGUUUGGUAGUUUGUUUAGUAAUACAUAUUUAUGGAUGAUUGUUUAUUUAUUUGUGUUUGUUGGUUUGUUUGUAAUACAUAUUUAUGUAUUAAACAGUUUAUGGAGAAUCAUGGUGUUCUGUGUUUAUAGUGAAAUUGGAUUAGUAAUGUAUAAUAAUAAUAAUAACAACAACAACAAUAAUGUUAUUGCUAUCUAGAAAAGGGUUCAUAAAGGAACUGAUGAGGGUCAUUAAUGCACCUUUAAAUGAAGGUUCCAAUUAGAACCUUUUCAAAAAGGUUCAAAAAUGAACCUUUAAGGUUCCCCCACAGUUGCAAUCUCCAGGAACCUCAAAAGGUUCAUUUUUGAACCUUUUCUUCUAAGAGAGAGCACUUUAGCAUCCUGAAUC